RNAcentral lists this long non-coding RNA (2872 nucleotides) under Mus musculus (house mouse). RNAcentral's name for it is "long non-coding RNA chr13:109743375-109746247". Lineage: Eukaryota; Metazoa; Chordata; Mammalia; Rodentia; Muridae. The record is from RNAcentral.
AUUGCAAUCAUGGACUCUCUGCAGCUCUGAUUGUCUUCAGAAGACCAACACAAGAUUGGGCCUGCCAGAAAUUCACCAUGGAUGGGGAAGGGGCCCAUGAGGCUCCACCCAUUCCUAAGGGACUAUGGUUAGUGAACAGGCAAGACAUGCUAAUGAAACUCAGUGGACCCCACAAAGGUAGACAUGGAAGUGUGAGGAAGACUUGUUGGGAAGAAAGAAGGAGAGGGAGGGGUUAAAAACAACUAAAAUUUGUUAUAUGAAUGAAAGAAAGUAUUGAGCAAUUAAAAAAUUAUUAGAAAGAAAGGUAAGAGAACUGGAAGGGGGAAGUAUCUUAGUGGUUAAAUGCUCUGCUCUCUAAAAUUCUAGAAAAAGAACUUUGGGAUGCUAAUGCAUAGGCCGUGUGUUCCAUACUCUCUAUUCAAGUUAGGGAAGACUAAAUAUGCAGCUCUGUUUUAUGAAAAGCUGGUGGUAUUUCACAGUCUAAAAAAGCCUUUAUUUCCAAAGCCCUAUACAAGAAUGACCUCAUUUUACCCUGUACCAAUUCAAGACGUCCUUUAUCUGCUGGGAGGACUCACGUAGGAAUGACAAAUUGAAUCAGACCAUGAGGCAACUCUGUAAAUUGUUGAAAAAUAAUGCCUUGACGUGCUCAGCUUUCUGAGUUCCUCUGUGUAUUUUCCCAGGAGAAAUGAGGCAUUUCUUUCACACUUGCUGAGAAACAAGAUAAACAAAGUAAUUAUGACUUCAUGUUUAAUUUAAUACAGCAUUUAUCUUCCACACAUACAUAACUCUGCUCUCCCUUUAUUUGAUGGCUUAUGUGGCCAUGUGUGUAAACCUCAGGCUCCUUUAUUUAGUUCCCAGCAAUGUGCAAUGUCCAUAGCUCUACUACACAACUGUCCUUUAGAGAGAAUCAUCUUAAUAAAAUCUACUGUGUUCACUUGAUGAUUCUGUAGAUGUUGUUCUUAACUAGCAUUUCAACAGAUAAAAUCGCUUAGCGUCAGGAGUUUGUAACUCUUUGUUUGAAUGAAAUAUUUUAGAAAAAACAAAUCCUCUGUAAGUUUGGGUAUAAUUGUUUAAUUAAUUAGGGAAUGAGAAGAAAGAAAUCAUCACUUCCUGGCAAGAUGCCACUGUCUUAUCAUCCAUAAAUAAGUAUUAAUAAGUAGCAGAUGUACACAAAGGAAAAAUACAGCAGCAAUGGUCAGAACAUAAAUCAUGGAUGCAUAUUACACUUCACUUUUCUGAGGAUUUUUGUAUCUGCUGUCUCAUUUCAUCCUUUGCUUCUUUAAAGAUUUGUUUAUUUUUUUAUGUAUGUGAGUACAGUGUAGCUGUAUAGAUGGUUGUGAGUCUUCAUGUGGUUGUUGGGAAUUGAAUUUUUAAGGCCUCUGCUCACUCCAGUCAACCCUGCUAGCUCCGGUCAACUCUGUUUGUUCAGUCCCUGCUUGCUCCAGCCCAAAGAUCUAUUUAUUAUUAUACAUAAGUACAUUGUAGCUGACUUCAGAUGCAUCAGAAGAAGGCGUCAGAUCUCAUUAUGGGUGGUUGUGAGCCACCAUGUAGUUACUGGAAUUUGAACUCCAGACCUUCAGAAGAGCAGUUAGUAUGCUUACCUGCGGAACCAUCUCAUCAGACUCUUCGCUUCUUCUUUUUUUAUUAGAUAUUUUCUUCAUUUACAUUUCAAAUGCUAUCCCAAAAGUCCCCUAUACCCUCCCCCGACCCUGCUCCCCAACCCACCCACUCCUGCUUCUUGGCGCUGGCAUUCCCCUGUACUGGGGCAUAUGGUCUUCGCAAGACCAUAUUUGAGGGGCCUCUCCUCCCAUUGAUGAAUGACUAGGCCAUCUUCUGCUACAUAUGCAACUACAGACACAGCUCUGGGAGGUACUGGUUAGUUGCCAUUUGUGAAUAGGAGACCCAAAGUCCAAAAAUGUUCAUCUUUUCAAAACACAAUAAAAGUUUUGAUCAUCUGUAAAGAACAUCACUUUGAUGAUACCAUUGUGAACAAUAUUUGUGAGUUGAUAGACAAACCCAUUUGACUAAUAGAAUGACUAUGAAGCACUAUAAAAAUUUGGUGAAAAAUAAACCAUGACAAAUCUUAUAGUGCAUAAAAUCAAUAAGGCAGCCAUGCAUCUGACUCAGAAAAUGUGUGCAUUUCUAUAGUAUGGAAAAAAGUUCAGAGUCUACAAGCAUUCACUGAGAGAAGAUAGAUGUUUCCAGAAUCUUCUGCUGUGUUUAUUAAACACAAAUGUCACCACGGUGACUUGAUUGAUAAACAUGCUUAUCAUGUGACCAUCAGCAUCUUCGUUUGGAUCUCAGCAACCUUGUAAACGGUGCAUAUAGCAGCAGGACUGUGAUCCCUGCAUUGUCGAGAUGGAAAGAGUUGCUGGAGGUCAAUAGAAAGCCAUUCUAGAGCACCAGUGAACUCCAUGUUCACCAGGAGACAGAGUCUGGCUCCAAAGUAAGGUGAAGAAGUCAUUGGGAAAACACUCUCAGUCACCUUCUGGCCUCAAUACACAUGUGCACAUGCCUCCCCACACAUGCCUGCCCAUCCACAAGUACACACACAUAAGUGUAGACACACACACACAAGAAAAAUAAGAAGCACGUCAGUGUUAGUGAGCGUAGCAAAGAUGUAAACAUAGGAAAAGCAGAUAUAAAUCAUACUUAAUAAUAAAACAUUUAUAUAACUGUAGACACAACCAGAAAAAUGACAGCUGACCCUGCUGUGACAUGAAUGAACAUGAGGAGAAUGGAAUAAUAAGGAGACAGUGUGUUUGAAAGCAUGAAGGGAGAUGAUUGCAAAGAUUAACGGGACAAUGAGCAACAACAAGAGGUGCACUCAUCACUUUUGUCAUUGCUGUGGCAAAAUACCUCUCCCUCCACC